RNAcentral lists this ribosomal RNA (292 nucleotides) under uncultured bacterium. RNAcentral's name for it is "partial 16S ribosomal RNA". It matches the Rfam family "Bacterial small subunit ribosomal RNA", at positions 505 to 796 of the family's 1533-position model. The record is from RNAcentral.
GUGCCAGCCGCCGCGGUAAUACGGAGGGGGUUAGCGUUGUUCGGAAUUACCGGGCGUAAAGCGCGCGUAGGCGGAUUGGAAAGUAUGGGGUGAAAUCCCGGGGCUCAACCCCGGAACUGCCCUUGAUACUGGGUGUCUUGAGUUCGAGAGAGGUGAGUGGAAUUCCGAGUGUAGAGGUGAAAUUCGUAGAUAUUCGGAGGAACACCAGUGGCGAAGGCGGCUCACUGGCUCGAUACUGACGCUGAGGUGCGAAAGUGUGGGGAGCAAACAGGAUUAGAUACCCCUGUAGUCC